Molecule: ribosomal RNA, 269 nt
Filed under: uncultured bacterium
Lineage: Bacteria
Description: partial 16S ribosomal RNA
Source: RNAcentral
CUGCUGCCUUCCGUAGGAGUUUGGGCCGUGUCUCAGUCCCAAUGUGGCCGUUCACCCUCUCAGGCCGGCUACUGAUCGUCGCCUUGGUGGGCAGUUACCCCGCCAACAAGCUAAUCAGACGCGGGUCCAUCUUACACCACCGGAGUUUUCAAGGAAAAGACAUGCAUCUUUCCCUGUUAUGCGGUAUUAGCACCUAUUUCUAAGUGUUAUCCCCCAGUGUAAGGCGGGUUACCCACGCGUUACUCACCCGUCCGCCACUAAGAUACCAA